This 411-nucleotide ribosomal RNA is filed under the name Bacillus mycoides. Its description in RNAcentral is "bacterial SSU rRNA". It matches the Rfam family "Bacterial small subunit ribosomal RNA", at positions 1122 to 1533 of the family's 1533-position model. The record is from RNAcentral. Lineage: Bacteria; Bacillati; Bacillota; Bacilli; Caryophanales; Bacillaceae.
CAUUAAGUUGGGCACUCUAAGGUGACUGCCGGUGACAAACCGGAGGAAGGUGGGGAUGACGUCAAAUCAUCAUGCCCCUUAUGACCUGGGCUACACACGUGCUACAAUGGACGGUACAAAGAGCUGCAAGACCGCGAGGUGGAGCUAAUCUCAUAAAACCGUUCUCAGUUCGGAUUGUAGGCUGCAACUCGCCUACAUGAAGCUGGAAUCGCUAGUAAUCGCGGAUCAGCAUGCCGCGGUGAAUACGUUCCCGGGCCUUGUACACACCGCCCGUCACACCACGAGAGUUUGUAACACCCGAAGUCGGUGGGGUAACCUUUUGGAGCCAGCCGCCUAAGGUGGGACAGAUGAUUGGGGUGAAGUCGUAACAAGGUAGCCGUAUCGGAAGGUGCGGCUGGAUCACCUCCUUUC